Molecule: long non-coding RNA, 299 nt
Organism: Amphimedon queenslandica
Lineage: Eukaryota; Metazoa; Porifera; Demospongiae; Haplosclerida; Niphatidae
Exons: 3
Source: RefSeq, a predicted model, not a curated record
UGAUUACAAGCAGUUGGAGGAAUCAGUUGAAAAACUUAAGAAUGUAAUGGAACACAUAAAUGAAGACAAGAGGAAGACAGAGAAGCAGAUGCACAUGUUUGAACUUAUACGUGACAUUGAGGACAUCCCGGCGACGGUCCUUUCAUCUCAUCGUUGGUUUAUUUCAAGACAUGAUGUGUUGGAGUUAAAUAUUAGCAAUAAUGGAAAGACUAAUAAACCAUUGUCUAUAGCAUUGUUCCUCUUCUCUGACAGCAUUGAGGUGAGAUAGAGGAAGUGUCUCAUUUUUAUAUGCUAAUUUC